Molecule: ribosomal RNA, 497 nt
Filed under: uncultured bacterium
Lineage: Bacteria
Description: partial 16S ribosomal RNA
Rfam family: Bacterial small subunit ribosomal RNA
Source: RNAcentral
GAUGAACGCUGGCGGCGUGCCUAAUACAUGCAAGUCGAGCGAACAGAUGAGGAGCUUGCUCCUCUGACGUUAGCGGCGGACGGGUGAGUAACACGUGGAUAACCUACCUAUAAGACUGGGAUAACUUCGGGAAACCGGAGCUAAUACCGGAUAAUAUAUUGAACCGCAUGGUUCAAUAGUGAAAGACGGUUUUGCUGACACUUAUAGAUGGAUCCGCGCCGCAUUAGCUAGUUGGUAAGGUAACGGCUUACCAAGGCAACGAUGCGUAGCCGACCUGAGAGGGGGAUCGGCCACACUGGAACUGAGACACGGUCCAGACUCCUACGGGAGGCAGCAGUAGGGAAUCUUCCGCAAUGGGCGAAAGCCUGACGGAGCAACGCCGCGUGAGUGAUGAAGGUCUUCGGAUCGUAAAACUCUGUUAUUAGGGAAGAACAAAUGUGUAAGUAACUAUGCACGUCUUGACGGUACCUAAUCAGAAAGCCACGGCUAACUACGUG